GGAUGAACGUUGGCGGUGUGCCUAAUACAUGCAAGUCGAACGGUGAUCUUUUUGUAGUAAUACGAAUUGGUCAUAGUGGCGAUCGGGUGAGUAACGCGUUGGUGAUCUGCCUCGAAGUGUGGAAUAACGUUCCGAAAGGAACGCUAAUACCGCAUGUGCUCUCAGUCUUUAGAAAGUUGAGAGUAAAGGAUUUAUUCGCUUCGAGAGGAGCCUGCGUCCACAUCAGCUAGUUGUGUUAGGGGUAAUAGCCUACCAAGGCUUUGAACGGGUAGGGGACCUGAGAGGGUGGGCCCCCCACAAUGGAACUGAAACACGGUCCAUACACCUACGGGUGGCAGCAGUAGGGAAUAUUAGAAAUGGACGAAAGUCUGAUCUAGCGACACCGCGGUGUGCGAAGAAGGCCUUCGGGUUGUAAAGCACUUUUUGGAAGGAAUAGGAAGGAAGGUACUUCCAGAAUAAGUCUCGGCUAACUACGUGCCAGCAGCCGCGGUAACACGUAGGAGGCAAACGUUAUCCGGAUUUACUGGGCGUAAAGCGCGUGUAGGUGGUUUUGUAAGUAGGGCGUGAAAGCUCCCGGCUCAACUGGGAGAGGCCGUUCUAAACUGCAGAACUAGAGGAUGGUAGAGGGAGGUGGAAUUCCAGGUGUAUCGGUGGAAUGCGCAGAUAUCUGGAGGAACACCAGUGGCGAAAGCGGCCUCCUGGACCAUUCCUGACACUCAGACGCGAAAGCUAGGGUAGCAAACGGGAUUAGAGACCCCGGUAGUCCUAGCCCUAAACGAUGUAGACUAGACGUCGGUGGUGUAAUAGCUGUCGGUGUCCAAGCUAACGCGAUAAGUCUACCGCCUGGGGACUACGGCCGCAAGGUUAAAACUCAAAGGAAUUGACGGGUCCCCGCACAAGCAGCGGAGCGUGUGGUUUAAUUCGUUGCUACACGAAGAACCUUACCUGGGUUUGACAUAGCAGUGGUAGGGAAGAGAAAUCGGACCGACCCUUCGGGGAGCUGUUACAGGUGUUGCAUGGCUGUCGUCAGCUCGUGUCGUGAAAUGUUUCGGUUAAGUCCGCUAACGGAGCGCAACCCAGUGUUGUGUGUUAUAUGUGUCACACAAUACCGCCGGUAUUAAGCCGGAGAGAAGGUGCGGAGUGACGUCAAGUCGAGACAUGACCUUUAUAUCCAGGGCUACACACAGCGCCUACAAUGUGUGCAGUACAACAGGUAUGCCAAGCCGCGAGGCGGAGCCAAUCCUCUAAAGCUGUCCUCAGUUCAGAUUGCAGGCUGCAACUCGCCUGCAUGAAGUUGGAGUUGCUAGUAACCGCAGGUCAGCUAUACUGCGGUGAAUACGUUCCCGGGGAUUGUACACACCGCCCGUCAAGUCAUGGAAGCUGGCAACACCUGAAGCCGGUAUCCUAACCCGUAAGGGAGGGAGCUGUCAAAGGUGGGGUUGGUGACUGGG
This 1451-nucleotide ribosomal RNA is filed under the name uncultured bacterium. RNAcentral's name for it is "16S ribosomal RNA". It matches the Rfam family "Bacterial small subunit ribosomal RNA". The record is from RNAcentral.